GAGAUGGUGUGGGUGUUAGCUUUGUUGUUAGCGUCUAUCACCUGUGUUAUAUACCGCCAUUUCUCGCUCCAAUUUUCCGUUCCGAUCACAAUUCAAACAGCUUACCUUCAUUUAACUCAUCGCCGUCUUUCUGCUUACAGUUGGUUGUGGAUUUGUGAGGAUUUGCGGCUUUAGGGUUUUGAUUUCCUUAUUUGUUCUUCAAAUACAACUUUAAAGGAAUCAAUAACGAACAAAUCUAUAGUUUUUAGG
RNAcentral lists this unclassified non-coding RNA (249 nucleotides) under Hevea brasiliensis (rubber tree). Lineage: Eukaryota; Viridiplantae; Streptophyta; Magnoliopsida; Malpighiales; Euphorbiaceae. The record is from RNAcentral.